This 491-nucleotide ribosomal RNA is filed under the name uncultured bacterium. RNAcentral describes it as "partial 16S ribosomal RNA". It matches the Rfam family "Bacterial small subunit ribosomal RNA", at positions 29 to 506 of the family's 1533-position model. The record is from RNAcentral.
AGUGAACGCUGGCGGUAGGCCUAACACAUGCAAGUCGAACGGCAGCACAGUAAGAGCUUGCUCUUACGGGUGGCGAGUGGCGGACGGGUGAGGAAUACAUCGGAAUCUACUUUUUCGUGGGGGAUAACGUAGGGAAACUUACGCUAAUACCGCAUACGACCUACGGGUGAAAGCAGGGGAUCUUCGGACCUUGCGCGAUUGAAUGAGCCGAUGUCGGAUUAGCUAGUUGGCGGGGUAAAGGCCCACCAAGGCGACGAUCCGUAGCUGGUCUGAGAGGAUGAUCAGCCACACUGGAACUGAGACCCGGUCCAGACUCUGACGGGAGGCAGCAGUGGGGAAUAUUGGACAAUGGGCGCAAGCCUGAUCCAGCCAUACCGCGUGGGUGAAGAAGGCCUUCGGGUUGUAAAGCCCUUUUGUUGGGAAAGAAAAGCAGCAGGUUAAUACCCCGCUGUUCUGACGGAACCCAAAGAAUAAGCACCGGCUAACUUCGU